ACAAAAUUGCCACCGCCUCUUUAUUCUUCGUUCGGUGAGCCGUGCUUCAGCCAAAACAGGUGCUCUCUCCAUUUUUCAUCUCUUCCAUACUCAAACCCUAGCCGCUCCACUUCUCUCUCUCAUCUCCCUUCGUUAGCUCUACCUACAACUCAAAACCUCGACAAAACACAAUUCCCCUUCUGCAAAAGCUUUCUCUCUCGCUUUGUUGUCUAUGUAAACCCGAGAGAAAUUCCAUGGAAACAUCACGCCUGCAAACGAAGUUGCAGGCCCACACACAAGCAAACUCCAUCUGAAAGCCGAAGAAUCCAAAGGUAAAUCCCUUCGAACUCUUCGAUUAUGAACGUCCAUCGUCUUCCUCCUCAUCUUCUUCUUCUGCUACUGCUUCGACCAGUAGGGAUACUUGAGGCCCGAAUCGAACGGUCAGGGUUUUGAUGGAGGGUUUGGCGGGUCCGACGAUCCCAUUUUGCCAGCGCCGUCGGAGAUGCUGCCUGAGGAGGGCUUCGCUCUCAGAGAAUGGAGGAGGGAGAAUUUCUCUCUCAAAUCAGUGUUCUUUGAUUCAUUUGGUAAAAACCCUUUUGGAUUUAGAGGCAGAUUAAGGGUUUUGAAUUGGGCAGAAGCCAUGGCAGCUCCAAAACCAGAAGAGAUAAGCCAUCCAGCAAUGGACCAACUCCAAGGCUUAGGGGGAAACAAUUGCUUUGGGUUUCCAGCACUACAUUUUGGCCUUGGGAACUGCUGUGAUGAUCCCCACAUUCCGUGUUCCUUUGAUGGGUGGUGAUGAUGUGAGUUGAUUUUGUAUACCACUUUCAUUCAAUUCUUAUAUCGUUGUGGCCUUUGUUCAAUUGGAGACUAAAUUCAAGGUGACAAAGUGAGAAUAGUGCAGACUCUGCUUUUUAUUCAAGGAAUCAGCACACUUCUACAAACAUUAUUUUGAACCCGAUUACCAACCGUAAUUGGAGGGUUUACACAUUCGUGGUCUGAAUAAUAUCCAUAAUUCAUGAUUCACGGUUGAUGAAGAUUGAGGACUAUCAUGCGAAAUGGGCCAAAAGAAUCCUGAUAUAUAUAUUUUACUAAUAAAGAAGGGAAACGCAACACUGAAUGUCUCACUUGGGGAAUUGAUAAAGAGCGGGUUUUAAGAGGCCGCACUGCUGUUGAGGUUUACUUCGACCACUUGAGGAGCUUCAGAGUUGAAUUUGAUGAGUUUUUUGAGGAAGGAAUAAUAUCAGAAAUUGAAGUUGGAUUAGGUCCGUGUGGAGAGCUACAAUAUCCUUCUUAUCCUGAACAGCAUGGUUGGAAAUAUCCUGGUAUUGGUGAAUUCCAGUGAAAAAUUAAAGAUAUUGGAUUGGGGGGAGGAUAGCCGAAACUGCUGCUCUUCGGGCGUCGUUUCAGCAAGAGGUUGAUGUUUGGCAUAAGCUUGACCACCCAAAUAUCCCAAAGCACUGCUAGGACAUGCAAUUGCAUUUUAAUUGUUCAUGAUGCAAUAAAGCCAAUAACUCACAAGCGUCUAAUUGAAAAAGAGCUCGAGGGAUUUGGCAUAAGGUCAGUCAGCUAUAGCUUUGUUUCUGGUCUGUAAUUUGUAUAGUUUUGUCAUUUUGUUACUUCAGUUUAGCAGAUCUUAAGGCAAUUUAUGCAUUGUGUUGAAUUUAUUCAACUUAAAUGUGAUUCAUUCAUCCAAGGUGUUGGCUUCUGUUAGGGUUCUUCGAGAUCUGAUUUUAGAGAGCGAUUCACCUCAUAUCAUCAUGACCAUGCACGAACCACAGUUAAUGAAUUAGGUUCAAUUCCGCUAUUAAAAUUUCAUUGGCGUCUGUCAGGUUUUUUGAUACAGAAUGUAAGUGACCCCACUUCACGUACUCUGAAAGUAUCUAAGCUUGGUAAUGAUUUUGACGGGCAUGUCUGAUGCCUUCUCAAACAUGAAUAGCCUGUGGGGUUUAAGAUUGAUAUCAAUUCCCAAUUGUGGAAUUGAUAUCAAAGGCAGAUUGUAAAACUGAUAUCAAAGCCAAUAGUAAGUGUCUGGGGGCUUCUUGGUAUGAUAGUUAUGUCUGUUAUGUGUUUGUUUUAUUUCCGUCUGUUCUUAGAGCGUACUCCUUAUCCUUUGAUAUGUAAUUUGUGUUAGCUUAAAUGAAAGGUUUGUCUCUUCUCAAAAAAUGAUGAAUCCAACAUGUUACUCUAUGGUCUUUAAAUCCCACGGUGUGUUCGAAGUGCUGGAUGAGUUGUGCUUUUACAAACCCUAAUAAAAUUAUAUUUGAAUCAUGCUGUCUGAUAACUCUGUUUUUCCUUUUUUCCUGUUUGUGGUUUUUAGUCUGUCAUUUAAUUGGUGUAGCUUUGCUAGGAUCUCUGUUCCAACAGUGUGUGAUUAGUGCUAAUGGAAUUUUAGCACUGUUUCUGAGCUAUUGUUCGAAUUAUUGUAUUAUACAUUCAAUUGAGCCAAUGAAGCAUGUGUGCCAACGAAUUUUUAAGAGUUUGGCUUCGUUUUCUCCCUUUGGUCUUUAAUAUUUAAGUGUGAGGCACCUGGUUGUUGACUAAUUGAGUCCCUUCUCUAAGUUUUUUAGUAGAUAUUGUGUAAUUUGCUUUUAUGAGCACUUCUUUAAGCCGUCAAGUUCCCAAAAUGUACAAGGAGAUAUCAAGUUUAACAAGUCACGAACUGUGAUCAAUCCAAAUGCAGUGAAAUUAGAGAUUUUACAUUUAAAAACUCAGUUAGCUUUAGACCAUAGGAUUAGCAUUUUGCACAUGUGAGUAUCAUUGACCUGCUCAUUUUAUUUUUCUAGAUAAGAAACAAACUGUCAUUCAAGGGAGAAGAAAGUGUACAAAAACAAAGUUUCUGUAAGCUUGCAUUUAUAUGCCUAAUAUUUUAAUUCCUUUUCUUGGCAUUACCUAUUGAAAUGGUUGCCUACACUACAGGACACAUUUGUGUGAACUACAUGUUUCUUCUGUUUUUUAAGGAAACAAAACUAUUUUGGAAACCAUAUAUUUCUAAUCAAAGACGUUCAGUUUCUUCCCACUCAUUGUACAAUGUGUUUGUAUGCUAGCUCACUUGAAUGUAUAUAAAAGCAAAACUGCUUAUCUUAUCGAUCUCAUUCACUCAUGUAUCCUUUCAUAAUUGUGUUGAAUUUAUUUAACUUAAAUGUGUUUAUAUGCAUUUUUUAGUUGAACUACUAUAUUUUUGUUCAAUUGACUGCAACUCAUGCCGCAGUUUGCUUCACAAACCUCUACGGUUAGCUUCCAUACAAUAUGUUGCAAGUUUGAGGAUAUCUCUACAUCUUAAUUUUUGCUCUCUGGUUGCUUCAAGUUUGUAAUUUUACGUGCUACAUUGCCGUUUGAUUUGAUUAUAAAAAUGUAAAACAAAAUCUGUCCAUGAUUUACAAAUUUGUAUUCAAUUUUUGAUGUUUUUCCAGUGUAAGGCAUAUGUUGCACAAGUGAGGUACGUAGAUUGCAGGGCAUAUAUUUUGCUGUCUUAACUGCAGGGGCAAAAUAUGUGUAAACUGUAGCUUGCAUCUGUUUCUUCAGUUUGGUAUGGAAACAAACCUUCUGCUUAUUUUUGCCUUUGAAAAGUUGUGGUUACAAAAUUAACUACUUGAACAAGUCCUCAACACUCUCUAUUUUUAAUUAUCUGUUGAAAUGGCCGUCUACACUGCAUGACACAUUAUAUAUGUGAACUAAAUGUUUCUUUUGUUUCUUAAGGAAACAGAACUUUUUUUGAAACCAUCUCUUUCUAA
This is a non-coding RNA of Malus domestica (apple), 3710 nucleotides long. The record is from RefSeq and is a predicted model, not a curated record. Lineage: Eukaryota; Viridiplantae; Streptophyta; Magnoliopsida; Rosales; Rosaceae.